UCAGAACAGUGCCUCAGGAUGA
Molecule: unclassified non-coding RNA, 22 nt
Filed under: Mus musculus (house mouse)
Lineage: Eukaryota; Metazoa; Chordata; Mammalia; Rodentia; Muridae
Description: oocyte_clustered_small_RNA12327
Source: RNAcentral